This is a non-coding RNA of Brachypodium distachyon (stiff brome), 136 nucleotides long. NCBI's taxonomy places the organism in Eukaryota, Viridiplantae, Streptophyta, Magnoliopsida, Poales, Poaceae. The record is from Rfam.
CAAGUACUCCUGCCGUCUAACAAAGGAUGUCUCAACUUUGAUUAAAUUUGAAUGCAUAUAUACAUUAAGUCAUGUCUAGAUACAUCCAAAUUUUGACAAACUUGAGACAUAUUUUGUUAGACGAAGGGAGUAUAAA